RNAcentral lists this microRNA precursor (127 nucleotides) under Paramuricea clavata. Lineage: Eukaryota; Metazoa; Cnidaria; Anthozoa; Malacalcyonacea; Plexauridae. The record is from RNAcentral.
UUUAUACGUCGAAUUUUGGUCGCGUCGAAUGCAAUUAAGACAAUAGAGAGUGAGAUGAUAAACCUCAUUAAGCUUCAUUAUCAAUUGUUUGAAUUGCAUUCGACGCGACCGAAAUUCGACGUAUAAA